This 393-nucleotide ribosomal RNA is filed under the name uncultured Chrysophyceae. RNAcentral's name for it is "partial small subunit ribosomal RNA". It matches the Rfam family "Eukaryotic small subunit ribosomal RNA", at positions 30 to 432 of the family's 1831-position model. Lineage: Eukaryota; Chrysophyceae. The record is from RNAcentral.
GCUUGUCUCAAAGAUUAAGCCAUGCAUGUCUAAGUAUAAACUACUUUAUGCUGUGAAACUGCGAAUGGCUCAUUAUAUCAGUUAUAGUUUAUUUGAUGAUCCUUACUACUUGGAUAACCGUAGUAAUUCUAGAGCUAAUACAUGCAUCAAUCCCCGACUUCGGAAGGGGUGUAUAUAUUAGAUUGAAGCCAAUUUGGGUUCUCCCAAUUUUUGGUGAUUCAUAAUAUCUUUCGGAUCGAUCGCAAGAUCGAUGCAUCAUUCAAGUUUCUGCCCUAUCAGCUUUGGAUGGUAGGGUAUUGGCCUACCAUGGCUUUAACGGGUAACGGAGAAUUAGGGUUCGAUUCCGGAGAGGGAGCCUGAGAAACGGCUACCACAUCCAAGGAAGGCAGCAGG